This 767-nucleotide long non-coding RNA is filed under the name Ananas comosus (pineapple). RNAcentral describes it as "long non-coding RNA (ACOM_LNC020803)". The record is from RNAcentral. Lineage: Eukaryota; Viridiplantae; Streptophyta; Magnoliopsida; Poales; Bromeliaceae.
UCAACUAUAAAUUUAUUUUAAUUUUUGUUAUUUAGUACAUACUUUCAUAAUUUUUAAUUAUUUUAGAUAAAUUUUUAUUUAAUUAAAAAGAUUAUAUUAAAGUUAAUAGCUCAGUCAACUAAUAAUAAUCAAUUAUCACAAUUGUAUUUAGUAAAAAUUAAGAAAUUAAAUUAUUAACUGAAUUACUAUUAGAUUUAGUAAAUUUCAAAAUUAUUUGAGUGAAAUAAUAUAAAUAAAAUAAUUAAAAGUCAAGUAAAUAUAAAUAAAAAAAGGGAAUGUUUUUUUUACACUAACAAUUUAGUCAAUAUAUUUCCUCAUCAAAAUUUUGAUUAGGUAUAUUUUAUAAUUAAUUGCUAAAAUUUUAAUUUGUAUGUACUUUGGCCCCCCUCGUAAUCAAGUCCUAGCUUCGUCACCGAGUUUGGAGAAGUUGUGUGGCCAUUUUUCAACAGAGUUUCAUUCUAGCUCUGAUACCAAAUGUUUGUGGGCUAAUAUAUAAAUGGACUACAAAAAGUAUUUAAUACUUGAAUAACAAACUUUAUUAGUAUAACUAAACUUCAGUACGUCAUAACUGAAUAAUACAAUUUGAUCCACACUUCACAACUCUACACAACAAAUUACAUGCCCUAUAUUUAUGGAUUAUGAAAUGACGCAACUCUUCACGAAAAAAGACAAUCCUUCACUAAAAAAUAUGAUCCUAAGCUAAAAGACACAACCUUACAAAAGAACACACCCUUUCAUAAAAUACACAACUUUUCAAUAAAAUAUUU